RNAcentral lists this ribosomal RNA (58 nucleotides) under Epicoccum sp. SP3. Its description in RNAcentral is "partial 28S large subunit ribosomal RNA". It matches the Rfam family "Eukaryotic large subunit ribosomal RNA", at positions 1 to 57 of the family's 3401-position model. RNAcentral also lists the same sequence under 1 other name. The record is from RNAcentral. Lineage: Eukaryota; Fungi; Ascomycota; Dothideomycetes; Pleosporales; Didymellaceae.
CUGACCUCGGAUCAGGUAGGAAUACCCGCUGAACUUAAGCAUAUCAAUAAGCGGAGGA